Molecule: transfer RNA, 77 nt
Filed under: Terriglobia bacterium
Lineage: Bacteria; Pseudomonadati; Acidobacteriota; Terriglobia
Also listed under: 2 other names
Description: tRNA-Arg
Rfam family: tRNA
About the family: Transfer RNA (tRNA) molecules are approximately 80 nucleotides in length. Their secondary structure includes four short double-helical elements and three loops (D, anti-codon, and T loops).
Source: RNAcentral
GCGCCCGUAGCUCAGGUGGAUAGAGCGGCUGGCUUCGAACCAGUAGGUCGGGGGUUCGAGUCCCUCCGGGCGCGCCA